Molecule: long non-coding RNA, 1641 nt
Organism: Anguilla anguilla (European eel)
Lineage: Eukaryota; Metazoa; Chordata; Actinopteri; Anguilliformes; Anguillidae
Exons: 2
Source: RefSeq, a predicted model, not a curated record
CCACAUAUCAUCUUUUAAACACUGGUGAUCUGCGAAUAAACAAAGCUAGUAAACAAUGAAAGGACAAUAUAAAUACAUACAGCAUGUGUACAUGUACAACCAAAUUCCAGGAGAGUAAACUUUGAAUAGCAAGAUGUCAUAUAUCAGUAAAUUUACACAGAUAUUAAAUUUCGCUCUGUUCAUUUUAGACAUAGUGCUAAGCUGAAUUUUUAUAGCACACUGAUCGAUAUCUUGGUAAAAUAAUCAUUUUUUAAACUAGCGGGGCAGUGAAAUCUUUGCUUUGUGCUAAAGUCAACAGUGGCAGAGUUUGAGCUCAAAUAAAUGCCGUGAUACCUCCAGCCUUGUGCAGUAGGCUUGCCGGCGAGGCUCUAAAACUGGGCUCCGCCGCUUUGGCUAAACAGCGGCAACAACUUCAUCAGGUCACUGAGGACUGUCCACGGGGGAGGACAGGAGUGGACAGGAACGGACACAACGCUGAAGCCCGCCCAGAACCAGAACCAGAACCGCCGACGGUCUCCCGGUCGCAGUCGACUGAACCCGGUCGAGCCGGUGGCAAAUAUGAAAUAUCAAAGUGCCCGUCGGCAGCGCUCGCAGGGACAAAAGGAGAACGGCAUUAAUGAUUAACUGCGCUAAAAGCCCCUGCUUUUGUAUUCCCAUGGAGCCCGGGCUAUCUGGCCCGCCAUGUGACAUGCUCUGGCCAUUUUCUAGCAGAUUGGGGAAAGCCAGUGAGCAAACACAGGUGCUGCGGAGUCAGUGGCGGCGCCAGGGGCAACCGCAAACAGGGCCAGCAAUGUGCCAGGCUAAAUGAGCUUUGCGUCGGCCGCCUCUCCGCUCUCCCGGAGGGUCCCACAUUUCAAGUCCAAUGUCUCCUGCCCUAGUUCGCAACUAUUCACACUCCGUUCCAUAGAAAAGAAUGAAGAAGAAGAAAAAAAAAAACUUUACGCACACACACAAACACACACAGACGCACACACACAUGCACACACACACACACACGCAAAAAAAAAAAAAAAAAAAAACGUGGGGGACGCGAGAGGCAGGCAGCGACUUCUUUGAAACGACGGUGUUCGGUGGCCAAGCACAGAGACAGAGCAAACUAAUUAAUGGGGUUCAAGUCUCCGAAUUUGAAAACAAAACAAAUUUAUUUUUCUCAAGUGGGGCUAUUUCUGUGACCUCCCCCCCCCGGUGUCAAAUGCAAUGGCUCUCUCUGUGAUGACCUAGAGGGGAUGGGAUAGACCUAGGCCUAUGCACAAAUGCUUUGAUAAAACAACAACUUUUAAAGUGUGGUCACAUUCCCGAUUUGUAUAUUUUAUUCCCUAUGAAUAUUGAAUAGCAUGAUGUUGAGAAAUAAACUCAAAGAAGUUUUAUGAAUCCAUAAUACAAUUAAAACUGAAAUGUUUAUUCGCUUAACUUUUCUUUUUUUUAUAGGUUUCAUAAAUGCAAGAUCAUAAGCAAUUCACUGACAAACAACAGAAUGAAAGGAACAAACAAAAGAAAAACGUGUUCAAACACAAGCAUCAAUUAACAGACAGCAAUACAAUAGUAAAACAGCAAAGUAAUUGUUAAUUAACAAUCAAGUGUCAAUUACUUGAAAGUUCCAUUAAAAACUGGGAUGCAAGGAAUUCUCCCAAGUGGAUUAAA